ACAAGCGAAAAGCUUAAAACUCAAAGGACUUGACGGUGUUCCACACCGACCUAGAGGAGCCUGUCCUAUAAUCGACACCCCACGAUAAACCUUACCCCACCUUGAAACACCAGCCUAUAUACCGCCGUCGUCAGCCUGCCUAAUGAUAGCACUAAAGCAGACAAAACAGCUAUUUACCCACUAAAACGUCAGGUCAAGGUGUAGCUAAUGGUGGGGUUAGAGAUGGGCUACAUUCUCUAAAUACUAGAGCACACACCUCAAGCAAUAUGAAACACAAGCCAAUAAGGCGGAUUUAGCAGUAAACACAGCAAGACAAGCCGUAUUGAAGCCCCGCUCUGGAACGCGUACACACCGCCC
This 357-nucleotide ribosomal RNA is filed under the name Geckolepis maculata. RNAcentral describes it as "partial 12S ribosomal RNA". It matches the Rfam family "Bacterial small subunit ribosomal RNA", at positions 882 to 1395 of the family's 1533-position model. Lineage: Eukaryota; Metazoa; Chordata; Lepidosauria; Squamata; Gekkonidae. The record is from RNAcentral.